AACGCAAAUUGCACUCUCUGGCAACCCGGAGAGUAUGCCUGUUUGAGGGUCAGUGUUAAUAAAAAUCGGUGCGUUGCAAUUUUUUUUGUGAUGUUUCCGGAGUUUGAGUUAUCUUAACUCUUCUGGGUUUUAAGUGGCUUAAAAUUGACCUUUUUUGUGCAUUUUAGACGUACAUAAUUUUUUUUUAUUCGUCCAUCUUAAUGCCAAAAUCUAUUAGAUGCGACCAUAUCAUGUGGUUUCGUGUCCAUAAAUUUUUCAUGAUUUGACCUCAAAUCAGGUAGGAACACCCGCUGAACUUAA
RNAcentral lists this unclassified non-coding RNA (300 nucleotides) under uncultured Glomeraceae. RNAcentral describes it as "sequence contains ITS2". The record is from RNAcentral. Lineage: Eukaryota; Fungi; Glomeromycota; Glomeromycetes; Glomerales; Glomeraceae.